CCCUGAUGUUAGCGGCGGACGGGUGAGUAACACGUGGGUAACCUGCCUGUAAGACUGGGAUAACUCCGGGAAACCGGGGCUAAUACCGGAUGCUUGAUUGAACCGCAUGGUUCAAUUAUAAAAGGUGGCUUUUAGCUACCACUUACAGAUGGACCCGCGGCGCAUUAGCUAGUUGGUGAGGUAACGGCUCACCAAGGCAACGAUGCGUAGCCAACCUGAGAGGGUGAUCGGCCACACUGGGACUGAAACACGGCCCAAACUCCUACGGGAGGCAGCAGUAGGGAAUCUUCCGCAAUGGACGAAAGUCUGACGGAGCAACGCCGCGUGAGUGAUGAAGGUUUUCGGAUCGUAAAACUCUGUUGUUAGGGAAAAACAAGUACCGUUCGAAUAGGGCGGUACCUUGACGGUACCUAACCAGAAAGCCACGGCUAACUACGUGCCAGCAGCCGCGGUAAUACGUAGGUGGCAAGCGUUGUCCGGAAUUAUUGGGCGUAAAGCGCGCGCAGGCGGUUUCUUAAGUCUGAUGUGAAAGCCCCCGGCUCAACCGGGGAGGGUCAUUGGAAACUGGGGAACUUGAGUGCAGAAGAGGAGAGUGGAAUUCCACGUGUAGCGGUGAAAUGCGUAGAGAUGUGGAGAAACACCAGUGGCGAAGGCGACUCUCUGGUCUGUAACUGACGCUGAGGCGCGAAAGCGUGGGGAGCGAACAGGAUUAGAUACCCUGGUAGUCCACGCCGUAAACGAUGAGUGCUAAGUGUUAGAGGGUUUCCGCCCUUUAGUGCUGCAGCAAACGCAUUAAGCACUCCGCCUGGGGAGUACGGUCGCAAGACUGAAACUCAAA
Molecule: ribosomal RNA, 838 nt
Filed under: Bacillus licheniformis
Lineage: Bacteria; Bacillati; Bacillota; Bacilli; Caryophanales; Bacillaceae
Description: bacterial SSU rRNA
Rfam family: Bacterial small subunit ribosomal RNA
Source: RNAcentral